Rattus norvegicus (Norway rat) is the source of this 1299-nucleotide long non-coding RNA. Ensembl lists it as uncharacterized. NCBI's taxonomy places the organism in Eukaryota, Metazoa, Chordata, Mammalia, Rodentia, Muridae. The record is from Ensembl.
AAGAAAGCCAGGUAUAUGUGUAUAAUCUUAGUACUACUGCUGCUGGCCACAAACAAUGCUGACCUUCAUGUGGGACACUUUGUGUAGUGCAGCCCACAUUGUUGAAACCUCACUGCUGACUGACUGGCUUACACCUGCGUAGCCCUGUGUUCAUCUCAGAUGAAGUCUGAUGUGUGCUAGUGAGUAAGGUCUGAGGCAGCAGAAGAGAGGGUGUGGCGUGCCACACUACCUGGGUCAGAGCUGGCCACACCUGUCGAAAGCAGUUAACAAGUGUCUGGACCAGUGGAGAAGACGCAGGCCUCUGAGCCACAGCGAGGACAAAUCCUGGGACAUUGUCAACAGGAAGAAGCAUGAGCGUCCGUCUGCCAUGAGACGGACGGGUCCUGGAGGAAAGAGACCCAAAAAGAAGAGGGGCCUGGGGCCCAGGAGCCCUGGGGUAGAGGCGGACAGCUUUCCUCGGUCCACAGGGCUGCAGAGGUGGGGGCUAAGCGCAGAUGUUUGCAGCAUCUCUGUCGGCAGUGUUAGCAUUCCGUCUGAGCUCCACCCCCACAGUCACCUGGCUGGGGGAGUUAAAUGCAGAUGUCUGCAGCACAUGGGGAGCACUUUUAUUUAGAAAAAACCAAAAGGAAUUUAAAAGCCUGUGACUACAAUUUUUAGCCUGCAACUAUGAUAAUUUUUUAAAAAAAAGGUUUAGUAUCCAGUGAUAAUUAUAACUGUUACCAAGGCUGGGCUAAUUACUUAUCAGAAUUCUAUCAAUGUGUUCAAGUUUGAACUCUGAAGUCUUAGCACCAUGCCUCGUCUAUAAACCUCAUUUUCAUGUGCCUUGAAUCACUUCCUCAGACCUUUACAACUUACAUUCACACACCUUAAAUGAUUUCCUUGGACCUUUACAAGUUACAUAAAUUUUGAACUUUUUUUUUAAUCUGGAAAUCUCUGGUCAUUUGCCAUGAGACAGAAGGGCUAGACCACUGAGAGCAGUCACUGGAGAUCAAGCUCCUUUAGAUAAAGGAGUAGUAAGAACAGUAAAGCUGCAGUCAGAGCAGCAACGUGAUAGCUUGAUUUGGUUUUUACACUGAAACCUGUUUUGGGAGUUUCUCUUUUUCAGAAAGAGGCUUGACACUCUAGGAAAAGCCACACCUGGUUUUUACAUAUGAAACUAAUUCAGGCUGGCAGAUAACUGAGUUUCAGUUUUAAAACCCUUUUUAUUAAUUUUAAUUAAAAUACUUUAUUCAUUUGUUUUUGUUAGUAUCAGAGGACAAUUUACAGAAAUGGGUCUCUCCUUCCAUGGUGUGGUUCUGG